This 433-nucleotide ribosomal RNA is filed under the name uncultured bacterium. RNAcentral describes it as "bacterial SSU rRNA". It matches the Rfam family "Bacterial small subunit ribosomal RNA", at positions 43 to 524 of the family's 1533-position model. The record is from RNAcentral.
CAGGCCUAACACAUGCAAGUCGAGCGCCCCGCAAGGGGAGCGGCAGACGGGUGAGUAACGCGUGGGAAUCUACCCUGAUCUGCGGAAUAGCUCCGGGAAACUGGAAUUAAUACCGCAUGUGCCCUGAGGGGCAAAGAUUUAUCGGUUCAGGAUGAGCCCGCGUCCGAUUAGCUAGUUGGUGGGGUAAUGGCCUACCAAGGCGACGAUCGGUAGCUGGUCUAAGAGGAUGAUCAGCCACAUUGGGACUGAGACACGGCCCAAACUCCUACGGGAGGCAGCAGUGGGGAAUAUUGGACAAUGGGCGCAAGCCUGAUCCAGCCAUGCCGCGUGAGUGAUGAAGGCCCUAGGGUUGUAAAGCUCUUUCAGUGGGGACGAUAAUGACGGUACCCACAGAAGAAGCCCCGGCUAACUUCGUGCCAGCAGCCGCGGUAAU